CCUACGGGUGGCAGCAGUGGGGAAUAUUGGGCAAUGGGCGCAAGCCUGACCCAGCAACGCCGCGUGAAGGAAGAAGGCUUUCGGGUUGUAAACUUCUUUUCUCAGGGACGAAGCAAGUGACGGUACCUGAGGAAUAAGCCACGGCUAACUACGUGCCAGCAGCCGCGGUAAUACGUAGGUGGCAAGCGUUAUCCGGAUUUACUGGGUGUAAAGGGCGUGUAGGCGGGACUGCAAGUCAGAUGUGAAAACCACGGGCCCAACCCCGGGGGUGCAUUUGAAACUGCCAUGAUGGCGUGCCGGAGAGGUAAGCGGAAUUCCUAGUGUAGCGGUGAAAUGCGUAGAUAUUAGGAGGAACACCAGUGGCGGAGGCGGCUUACUGGACGGUAACUGACGCUGAGGCUCGAAAGCGUGGGGAGCAAACAGGAUUAGAUACCCGUGUAGUC
RNAcentral lists this ribosomal RNA (443 nucleotides) under uncultured bacterium. RNAcentral's name for it is "partial 16S ribosomal RNA". It matches the Rfam family "Bacterial small subunit ribosomal RNA", at positions 338 to 795 of the family's 1533-position model. The record is from RNAcentral.